Molecule: non-coding RNA, 450 nt
Organism: Lepisosteus oculatus (spotted gar)
Lineage: Eukaryota; Metazoa; Chordata; Actinopteri; Semionotiformes; Lepisosteidae
Source: RefSeq, a predicted model, not a curated record
CCAAGGCCUUAUGCGACAACCGAGGAUCAGCACUCCCCAGACAUUGGAAGUGAGGACGAAGACCAACAGUGAAGAAGGUUCUCGCUCCUGUUGAGGCCUGCCCGGAUAUCGUCAUCACAAUGUCUAGUUCCAGAAUUGCGGCGGCGGAAGAGGGCUGGCGAACUCGGGAGCUGGUCCGUCCUGUACCCCUGAGCGGCGCUGCGCCAGACCCCCGCCCGGCUCUCGCCGUGAGCAGCAGCAGCAGCAGGGUGUGAGCGGACAGCCGGACAGCACCCAUGCGCUAGGACCGGAACCAUGGAAGAUGCAGGGAGCCGGAAGUCCAGCCCGCAGCCGUCUCUCGAACCCGAGGAAGAACAGCGGGAUGCGGGGAGCACCUCCUUCAGCCAAGCCCACAUGAAGAGAGCCUUCCAGCUGAUGAACGAGCUGCGAAGGUAGGUCUCCCCAGCAGGU